RNAcentral lists this ribosomal RNA (253 nucleotides) under uncultured bacterium. RNAcentral's name for it is "partial 16S ribosomal RNA". It matches the Rfam family "Bacterial small subunit ribosomal RNA", at positions 524 to 776 of the family's 1533-position model. The record is from RNAcentral.
CACGUAGGGUGCGAGCGUUGUCCGGAAUUAUUGGGCGUAAAGAGCUCGUAGGCGGUGUGUCGCGUCGGCCGUGAAAACCCGGGGCUCAACCCCGGGCCUGCAUUCGAUACGGGCAGACUAGAGUUCGGUAGGGGAGUCUGGAAUUCCUGGUGUAGCGGUGAAAUGCGCAGAUAUCAGGAGGAACACCGGUGGCGAAAGCGGCUCUCUGGAACGGUACUGACGCUGAGACGCGAAAGCGUGGGGAGCGAACAGG